UACAGAGGUCUCAAGCGUUGUUCGGAUUCAUUGGGCGUAAAGGGUGCGUAGGCGGCGCGGUAAGUCGGGUGUGAAAUCUCGGGGCUUAACUCCGAAACUGCCAUUGAAACUGUUUAGCUUGAGGACGAGAGAGGUGAGUGGAAUUCCCAGUGUAGAGGUGAAAUUCGUAGAUAUUGGGAAGAACACCGGUGGCGAAGGCGGCUCACUGGCUCGUUUCUGACGCUCAGGCGCGAUAGCGUGGGGAUCAAACAGG
RNAcentral lists this ribosomal RNA (253 nucleotides) under uncultured bacterium. Its description in RNAcentral is "partial 16S ribosomal RNA". It matches the Rfam family "Bacterial small subunit ribosomal RNA", at positions 524 to 776 of the family's 1533-position model. The record is from RNAcentral.